RNAcentral lists this transfer RNA (75 nucleotides) under Aspergillus niger. RNAcentral describes it as "tRNA-Tyr". It matches the Rfam family "tRNA". From Rfam's summary of the family: Transfer RNA (tRNA) molecules are approximately 80 nucleotides in length. Their secondary structure includes four short double-helical elements and three loops (D, anti-codon, and T loops). Lineage: Eukaryota; Fungi; Ascomycota; Eurotiomycetes; Eurotiales; Aspergillaceae. RNAcentral also lists the same sequence under 4 other names. The record is from RNAcentral.
CCCCCGAUGGUCUAGUUGGUUCAUGGCGUUCGGCUGUAAACCGAAAAGUCACCAGUUCGAUUCUGGUUCGGGGGA